RNAcentral lists this ribosomal RNA (88 nucleotides) under uncultured bacterium. RNAcentral describes it as "partial 16S ribosomal RNA". The record is from RNAcentral.
CACACAUCGCCCGUCGCUUCAUCGAAGUUGGUUUUAGGCGAGGUGGUGCGAUUUGGCAUUAUCGAACCUGAGAUCAGCAACGAGGGAG